This 439-nucleotide ribosomal RNA is filed under the name uncultured bacterium. RNAcentral's name for it is "partial 16S ribosomal RNA". It matches the Rfam family "Bacterial small subunit ribosomal RNA", at positions 339 to 795 of the family's 1533-position model. The record is from RNAcentral.
CUACGGGUUGCUCCAGUGGGGAAUAUUGGACAAUGGGCGCAAGCCUGAUCCAGCAAUGCCGCGUGAGUGAAGACGGCCUUAGGGUUGUAAAACUCUUUCGCUAGGGAAGAUAAUGACUGUACCUAGUAAAGAAGUCCCGGCUAACUCCGUGCCAGCAGCCGCGGUAAUACGGAGGGGGCUAGCGUUGUUCGGAAUUACUGGGCGUAAAGAGAUCGUAGGCGGACUGACAAGUUAGAGGUGAAAUCCCAGGGCUCAACCCUGGAACUGCCUUUAAAACUGUCAGUCUAGAGACCGGAAGAGGUUAGGGGAAUACCUAGUGUAGAGGUGAAAUUCGUAGAUAUUAGGUGGAACACCAGUGGCGAAGGCGCCUAACUGGUCCGGUACUGACGCUGAGGAACGAAAGCGUGGGGAGCAAACAGGAUUAGAUACCCCUGUAGUC